GCAGCAGGAGCGAAACCUUUACACUGCACGCCAGUGCGAUAAGGGAAUCCCAAGUGCGCAGGCAUAGAGCCUGCGCUUUUGUUCACCGUAGGGAGGUGAACGAAUAAGGGCUGGGCAAGACCGGUGCCAGCCGCCGCGGUAAUACCGGCAGCCCGAGUGAUGGCCGAUCUUAUUGGGCCUAAAGCGUCCGUAGCUGGCCGCACAAGUCCAUCGGGAAAUCCACCUGCCCAACAGGGUGGACGUCCGGUAGAAACUGUGUGGCUUGGGACCGGAAGGCGCGACGGGUACGUCCGGGGUAGGAGUGAAAUCCCGUAAUCCUGGACGGACCGCCGAUGGCGAAAGCACGUCGCGAGNACGGAUCCGACAGUGAGGGACGAAAGCCAGGGUCUCGAACCGGAUUAGAUACCCGGGUAGUCCUGGCCGUAAACAAUGUCUGUUAGGUGUGGCUCCCACUACGAGUGGGUGCUGUGCCGUAGGGAAGCCGCUAAACAGACCGCCUGGGAAGUACGUCCGCAAGGAUGAAACUUAAAGGAAUUGGCGGGGGAGCACUACAACCGGAGGAGCCUGCGGUUUAAUUGGACUCAACGCCGGACAUCUCACCAGCAUCGACUGUAGUAAUGACGAUCAGGUUGAUGACCUUAUCCGAGUUUCAGAGAGGAGGUGCAUGGCCGCCGUCAGCUCGUACCGUGAGGCGUCCUGUUAAGUCAGGCAACGAGCGAGACCCGCAUCCUUACUUGCCAGCAGCACUGCGAAGUGGCUGGGGACAGUAGGGAGACCGCCGUGGCCAACACGGAGGAAGGAACGGGCAACGGUAGGUCAGUAUGCCCCGAAUGUGCUGGGCAACACGCGGGCUACAAUGGUCGAGACAAAGGGUUCCUACUCCGAAAGGAGACGGUAAUCUCAGAAACUCGAUCGUAGUUCGGAUUGUGGGCUGCAACUCGCCCACAUGAAGCUGGAUUCGGUAGUAAUCGCGUGUCANAAGCGCGCGGUGAAUACGUCCCUGCUCCUUGCACACACCGCCCGUCAAAGCACCCGAGUGAGGUCCGGAUGAGGCACGUUACACGAGUCGAAUCUG
RNAcentral lists this ribosomal RNA (1075 nucleotides) under Halorubrum sp. AV_22B70. RNAcentral's name for it is "bacterial SSU rRNA". It matches the Rfam family "Archaeal small subunit ribosomal RNA", at positions 332 to 1411 of the family's 1478-position model. The record is from RNAcentral. Lineage: Archaea; Methanobacteriati; Methanobacteriota; Halobacteria; Halobacteriales; Haloferacaceae.